GCCCUUUUCUUGGCGCACGUUAAGACCUAUAUCUCCCCUGCCGUCUUCGGGCGGCUAUGGUGAUAAACAGGCGAUGGAAUAAGCCUAUUGGACCCGGGGGCGGUACCCGGCGCCUCCACCAAAAACCGGUCAGGAAUCACUUACCGACCGGCUUUUGAUGGGGGCGAAAUAGGAUCGACAAGGGUGUAAAGAUCGACUUUUUGCUCGGCAUUGUACCACCGUUAUCGGGCUAAAAUUGUAGUUGCAAACGACAACUAUGCGGAAGCUCGUCUCGCUGCUUAAUCGCAGUGUGACACUUCAAAUCAAGUCCUUCCGGUUCGCACCGUAAGGCGGGGUUCGGAGGUACCUGGCAACAGAAACCUCCACU
This 367-nucleotide transfer-messenger RNA is filed under the name Rhizobium herbae. It matches the Rfam family "Alphaproteobacteria transfer-messenger RNA". From Rfam's summary of the family: Bacterial tmRNA, also known as 10Sa RNA or SsrA, is named for its dual tRNA and mRNA-like properties. Its role is to liberate the mRNA from a stalled ribosome. The record is from RNAcentral. Lineage: Bacteria; Pseudomonadati; Pseudomonadota; Alphaproteobacteria; Hyphomicrobiales; Rhizobiaceae.